Molecule: ribosomal RNA, 253 nt
Filed under: uncultured bacterium
Lineage: Bacteria
Description: partial 16S ribosomal RNA
Rfam family: Bacterial small subunit ribosomal RNA
Source: RNAcentral
UACGGGGGGUGCGAGCGUUGUCCGGAAUCACUGGGCGUAAAGCGCACGUAGGCGGAUCUUUAAGUCAGGGGUGAAAUCCUGGAGCUCAACUCCAGAACUGCCUUUGAUACUGGGGAUCUCGAGUCCGGAAGAGGUGAGUGGAACUCCGAGUGUAGAGGUGAAAUUCGUAGAUAUUCGGAAGAACACCAGUGGCGAAGGCGGCUCACUGGUCCGGUACUGACGCUGAGGUGCGAAAGCGUGGGGAGCAAACAGG